UCCUAAUAUUUAUUGCUGUGGUGCUG
Molecule: non-coding RNA, 26 nt
Filed under: Mus musculus (house mouse)
Lineage: Eukaryota; Metazoa; Chordata; Mammalia; Rodentia; Muridae
Also listed under: 1 other name
Source: RNAcentral